Molecule: small nuclear RNA, 124 nt
Filed under: Neogale vison (American mink)
Lineage: Eukaryota; Metazoa; Chordata; Mammalia; Carnivora; Mustelidae
Description: Neovison vison (American mink) U4 spliceosomal RNA (ENSNVIG00000007325.1)
Rfam family: U4 spliceosomal RNA
About the family: U4 small nuclear RNA (U4 snRNA) is a component of the major U2-dependent spliceosome. The structure of U4 snRNA from yeast and human has been reported. U4 snRNA presents a k-turn RNA motif in the 5p-SL related to recognition of Snu13 protein.
Source: Rfam by way of RNAcentral
AGCUUUGCGCAGUGACGUAUCAUAGCCAAUGAGGUUUAACUGAGGCGCGAUUAUUGCUAAUAGAAAGACAGAGGCCAAUAGCCACAUGAAGGGUAAGAUGCUUCAAAGUGAGACUGUUACUGGU